AUUUGCACUUAAUUAAUAUUAUUAUAUCAUAAUUAAUUGUGCCCAUAGUCACAGUGGGAUCCACCUUCCUGGUCACCAUCUUUGACUCCACGAGCAUUAUUCAAAGAGAUGAACUGUGUCUCUCAAGAAGUUAGUGUCGCCGGGGGGUUGGUAGCUCGCACUGCCCUGGGUUGGUGAGCAACAACGACUCCAAUUCAUCAACAUAUCAGAAGAAUCAGAACCCAUAUAAACAGAUUUCAGAUCCAUCAUCCAAUACCCAACAAGAGAAACACCCAUCAGCCAAAAUGCAAGUUAAUAUCAAAGAAACUACUCCAAUUCGUCCUUCUCCUUCUCCCUUAUCUCAAGACCAUGUUCUUCCACUCUCCUCUCUCGAUAUUGACCGCAACAUGAACGUUACCUUCCGUUAUCUUCGCGUAUAUGUAAACAACGAGGCCGCCACCACCAACAACACUAAGAACCCCUUUAAUGUAAUCGCCGCCGCCCUUUCUUCCGCUCUCGUCCACUACUACCCUCUUGCCGGCACUCUCCGCCGCCGACAUGAAGACAGCCGCUUUGAGGUAUUCUGCUCCGGGGACCAAGGUGUGCCUCUCAUCAAUGCCAC
Molecule: unclassified non-coding RNA, 601 nt
Filed under: Hevea brasiliensis (rubber tree)
Lineage: Eukaryota; Viridiplantae; Streptophyta; Magnoliopsida; Malpighiales; Euphorbiaceae
Source: RNAcentral